Molecule: long non-coding RNA, 683 nt
Organism: Mugil cephalus (flathead mullet)
Lineage: Eukaryota; Metazoa; Chordata; Actinopteri; Mugiliformes; Mugilidae
Exons: 2
Source: RefSeq, a predicted model, not a curated record
GGAAAGAGGGGUUUGUGGCCAGAUUGACAGAGGAAGGGUGGAUGGAGAGAACUGAGCACUCACUACACUGGAGCAGAGAGCAGGACCUUCAGUUCUGUGGCGGGAUCGAUCACUGUUGAUAAGGUUCCUGUGCACGCGGUGGAUGAAGAUCAACCCUUGGACUGAACAAGUAGCGAGCUUCUCUUUAGCUGAUGCUGUUUGUUUUCUGUGAAAAUCAGAGCGUUGACUGACUCGUGUGUCCCGCGUCGGAUUUAAGCUACACUGUCCCCAAGAUGGCUGUUGGCGUGUAAGUGAGAUAGGUCAGGAGAUUCCAAACGGCAGGUGGUUGGUACCAUUAAAUGCAACCUUUCUUUAUCUAAGAAAGACACAAAAGCCUCAUGGGCGUAAGGUGAGCGGAGAGGAGACACUAAAACGAAUUAAGAGGCCUAUCGGUGUAACUUUGGAGUGUCUUUCACUUGUAGCUUUAACGAGACUAGCGCUGCUGUUUACGGCUUUCACAGAGAGCCACUGAUACAAGCCUCUCAGGCUAAACCCUGAUUGUGUCUGCAAACAAAAUGACGAUCCACUCUUUGAAAAUCCCUAUUCUCAGAUGAGUAAAUGAGUAAAUGUGACCAGUCAGAUGAACCCAAGUGUAUUAGUCUUACCUUUGAAAUCAUUUAAAAAAAAAAAAAAAAAAGGAAUUU